UACAGAGGUCCCAAGCGUUGUUCGGAUUCACUGGGCGUAAAGGGUGCGUAGGUGGUGAGGUAAGUCGGAUGUGAAAUCUCGGAGCUUAACUCCGAAAUGGCAUUGGAAACUACCUUGCUAGAGGAUUGGAGGGGGGACUGGAAUUCUCGGUGUAGCAGUGAAAUGCGUAGAUAUCGAGAGGAACACCAGUGGCGAAGGCGAGUCCCUGGACAAUACCUGACACUGAGGCACGAAAGCUAGGGGAGCAAACAGG
Molecule: ribosomal RNA, 253 nt
Filed under: uncultured bacterium
Lineage: Bacteria
Description: partial 16S ribosomal RNA
Rfam family: Bacterial small subunit ribosomal RNA
Source: RNAcentral